AACCAGGGUAAUUAAUAAAUAAUAGUAAUAUUCUCUAUUAUAGCUUCUAUGAUAUUAAUGGACAACUCACGCCAACACUCCUCUUCAAGUUGAUGUAUAGAGAUCUUGAAUGCCUAACUUGUCAAGUGUGUUGAAGAAGUUUCUGCUACAUUCAGUUUUUAUCAGUAUAUUUGACAAUUGAUCUUCAGAUGUAACAAACAGAAACUGAAUCAUCUUGUC
This 219-nucleotide long non-coding RNA is filed under the name Lathyrus oleraceus (garden pea). RNAcentral describes it as "Pisum sativum (pea) long non-coding RNA (PSAT_LNC018491)". Lineage: Eukaryota; Viridiplantae; Streptophyta; Magnoliopsida; Fabales; Fabaceae. The record is from RNAcentral.